RNAcentral lists this ribosomal RNA (490 nucleotides) under uncultured bacterium. RNAcentral's name for it is "partial 16S ribosomal RNA". It matches the Rfam family "Bacterial small subunit ribosomal RNA", at positions 28 to 507 of the family's 1533-position model. The record is from RNAcentral.
GAUGAACGCUAGCGAUAGGCUUAACACAUGCAAGUCGAGGGGCAGCAUGGUCUUAGCUUGCUAAGGCUGAUGGCGACCGGCGCACGGGUGCGUAACGCGUAUGCAACUUGCCUCACAGAGGGGGAUAACCCGUCGAAAGACGGACUAAUACCGCGUACACUCUAUGUUGGGCAUCCAAUGUAGAGGAAAUGAAAUUCGCUGUGAGAUAGGCAUGCGUCCCAUUAGCUAGUUGGUGAGGUAACGGCUCACCAAGGCGACGAUGGGUAGGGGAACUGAGAGGUUGAACCCCCACACUGGUACUGAGACACGGACCAGACUCCUACGGGAGGUAGCAGUGAGGAAUAUUGGUCAAUGGGCGAGGGCCUGAACCAGCCAAGUCGCGUGAAGGAUGACUGUCUUAUGGAUUGUAAACUUCUUUUAUACGGGAAUAACAAGAGUCACGUGUGGCUCCCUGCAUGUACCGUAUGAAUAAGCAUCGGCUAACUCCGUG